This is a long non-coding RNA of Phyllostomus hastatus (greater spear-nosed bat), 402 nucleotides long. RefSeq lists it as uncharacterized. NCBI's taxonomy places the organism in Eukaryota, Metazoa, Chordata, Mammalia, Chiroptera, Phyllostomidae. The record is from RefSeq and is a predicted model, not a curated record. The transcript is spliced from 2 exons.
GCCACGGCCCAGGGCCAGCACUUCGGCGAGGACACGGAAAGGCCCUCUGCAGCUCAUCUCGUCCCAGACAUGGCCAGGGACCCCUCUGAGAGCAAGAAGCCGGGGAAGGAAGGGACCUGCUACAGGACAGGUGGCAGGCUUCACUGGAGAUUUACGGACUGGAGGAUCUCGCCCCUUCCCAGGAUAGAAGACAGGUUCCGUCACCAACCACGUCUGACCAGCAACGGCUGCCUGAAGGGGCGUCAGAAAGGGCUCUGAGGAUAUCCAGGCACGGCAGGUGCUUGGUGAUGCUGGCCUGGGAGCAAGAGCUGGCGUAGCUGCCCUGCAUGUUGUGCCCUUAAUGCCUCUGAUCUAGUCUAAGCCCCUCAUUAAAAUUAAUCCAAAGUAGAUUUUUAAAAAUUG